GUGCUCGCUUUGGCAGCACAUAUACUAAAAUUGGAAUGAUACAGAGAUUAGCAUGGCCCAGCACAAGGAUGACAUGCAAAUUCAUGAAGCGUUCCAUAUAUAU
Molecule: small nuclear RNA, 103 nt
Organism: Erinaceus europaeus (western European hedgehog)
Lineage: Eukaryota; Metazoa; Chordata; Mammalia; Eulipotyphla; Erinaceidae
Source: Ensembl